This 388-nucleotide ribosomal RNA is filed under the name Ligia oceanica (common sea slater). RNAcentral's name for it is "16S ribosomal RNA". It matches the Rfam family "Bacterial large subunit ribosomal RNA", at positions 1947 to 2561 of the family's 2925-position model. The record is from RNAcentral. Lineage: Eukaryota; Metazoa; Arthropoda; Malacostraca; Isopoda; Ligiidae.
UGUGCUAAGGUAGCAUAAUAAUUUGCCUCGUAAUUGGGGGCUAGAAUGAAGGAUCUGACGAAGGAAACCCUGUCUUGACAUUUGACCUAAAAUUUAAUAUUUAAGUAAAAAAGCUUAGAUUAAGCGAAGGGACGACAAGGCCCUAAAAGCUUUUUUAUUGACGUAAAUCUGAUAAAUUCACCUAAAGGUAACUGUUAAUAAUUUAGCUGGGGCGGCUGUAAUUAAACUUUCACAAAUAAUAUACUCACAUAUUUAAUGACACUAAUUAACUUCUCUAGAAACCUAAAAUAAAGUUACUUUAGGGAUAACAGCGCAAUAUCCCAAUAGAGUCCCUAUCGACUGGGAUGAUUGCGACCUCGAUGUUGAAUUGAGAACCUUCCUGAAGCAG